Vicia villosa (hairy vetch) is the source of this 989-nucleotide long non-coding RNA. RefSeq lists it as uncharacterized. NCBI's taxonomy places the organism in Eukaryota, Viridiplantae, Streptophyta, Magnoliopsida, Fabales, Fabaceae. The record is from RefSeq and is a predicted model, not a curated record. The transcript is spliced from 6 exons.
UCCAAAUCUCCGUAACUCAUUUCACAACAUUCACUCAGUGUUCUCCUCUCACAAAAAACACUCUCACCCCAUUAAACCCUAAACUGCAAUUUCUCACCUCUCUCGCCUAACAAUUCAUCUGCAAAAUUCUCAAAUUUUUUAUCACCGUCUCCAUUUCCGACGGCUAUCGGAAGAGGAUUCUCUCACCAUUGAUGUUGAUUUCACUGUUAUCGGAAGAGGAUGAUGUCGAAGUCAGUUCUUGCAACCGAUAUUUGUUUUUCUUUCGGCAGCACGGUAAUUAUUCCGGCGGUGAAACUUCAUCUACAAAAUGAUUUAGUGUUCGGCCGUGGUGCUUUUCUCUUUCACUGAAGGGUACAGAAUUAGGGUUCGGUUGUGGUCUUCAUUUUAGUGAUUUUCUUAUAAUAACCUCUAGAACAAUACCAGUAGAUGGUAACUUUCAAUUAUUCAGAAAUCACUUGCAUUGUCAACAUUGGAAGGAUAUAGUGGCUAUGGAGCUGAACAGGGAGAAAAGCCACUAAGAAGUGCAAUUGCUUCAACAUUUUACCCUGAUCUCGGCAUAGAAGAUGGUGAUAUAUUUGUCUCAGAUGGAGCAAAGUGUGAUAUAUCUCGUCUCCAGUAGAAGAAGUUAGAAAACUUGAAGGCACAACAUUGUAUAGAUCAAGGACUUUGUUCUUCCUUACACACGACAACGCGUUAAGACCUCUAGCGAUUGAGCUAGCUUGGCCGCCGAUGAAUGGAAAGCCACAGUGGAGGCAAGUGUAUACGCCUUCUUGGCACUCAACUGAUGUUUGGCUUUGGAGACUUGCCAAAGCUCGUGUCCUUGCUCAUGAUGGUGGCUAUCACCAACUUGUUAGUCAUUGGCUGAUACUCGAGCUCUCAAGAGGAAGACAUGGGAGCAGCUGGCUUCUGAAGAGGGUAAGGAUAUUCCUAAAGCUAGUGAAAUUGAAAGGUUAAUGUGUCGUACAGGUGUUGAUCAUGUACUAAAUAGG